Molecule: ribosomal RNA, 148 nt
Filed under: uncultured bacterium
Lineage: Bacteria
Description: partial 16S ribosomal RNA
Rfam family: Bacterial small subunit ribosomal RNA
Source: RNAcentral
ACUCCUACGGGAGGCAGCAGUGGGGAAUAUUGCACAAUGGGGGAAACCCUGAUGCAGCCAUGCCGCGUGUGUGAAGAAGGCCUUCGGGUUGUAAAGCACUUUCAGUAGGGAGGAAAGGGUGUAACUUAAUACGUUAUAUUUGUGACGU